RNAcentral lists this ribosomal RNA (274 nucleotides) under uncultured bacterium. Its description in RNAcentral is "partial 16S ribosomal RNA". It matches the Rfam family "Bacterial small subunit ribosomal RNA", at positions 523 to 796 of the family's 1533-position model. The record is from RNAcentral.
AUACGGAGGGUGCGAGCGUUAAUCGGAAUUACUGGGCGUAAAGCGCGCGUAGGCGGUUCGAUAAGUCUGAUGUGAAAGCCCUGGGCUUAACCUGGGAAUGGCAUUGGAUACUGUUGAACUAGAGUGCGGGGGAGGAGAGUGGAAUUCUCGGUGUAGCGGUGAAAUGCGUAGAUAUCGGGAGGAACACCAGUGGCGAAGGCGGCUCUCUGGACUGACACUGACGCUGAGGUGCGAAAGCGCGGGUAGCAAACAGGAUUAGAAACCCCAGUAGUCC